Molecule: ribosomal RNA, 292 nt
Filed under: uncultured bacterium
Lineage: Bacteria
Description: partial 16S ribosomal RNA
Rfam family: Bacterial small subunit ribosomal RNA
Source: RNAcentral
GUGCCAGCCGCCGCGGUAAUACGAAGGGGGCUAGCGUUGUUCGGAGUUACUGGGCGUAAAGGGCGCGUAGGCGGCUUGACAAGUCAGGCGUGAAAGCCCCGGGCUUAACCCGGGAAUUGCGCUUGAUACUGUCUGGCUGGAGUCCGGGAGAGGAUGGCGGAAUUCCCAGUGUAGAGGUGAAAUUCGUAGAUAUUGGGAAGAACACCGGUGGCGAAGGCGGCCAUCUGGACCGGUACUGACGCUGAGGCGCGAAAGCGUGGGGAGCAAACAGGAUUAGAUACCCCAGUAGUCC